RNAcentral lists this transfer RNA (78 nucleotides) under Silvimonas iriomotensis. RNAcentral describes it as "tRNA-Pro". It matches the Rfam family "tRNA". From Rfam's summary of the family: Transfer RNA (tRNA) molecules are approximately 80 nucleotides in length. Their secondary structure includes four short double-helical elements and three loops (D, anti-codon, and T loops). The record is from RNAcentral. RNAcentral also lists the same sequence under 1 other name. Lineage: Bacteria; Pseudomonadati; Pseudomonadota; Betaproteobacteria; Neisseriales; Chitinibacteraceae.
UCGGGGCGUAGCGCAGUCUGGUAGCGCACCUGGUUUGGGACCAGGUGGUCGUGAGUUCGAAUCCCACCGCCCCGACCC